This 207-nucleotide unclassified non-coding RNA is filed under the name Hevea brasiliensis (rubber tree). Lineage: Eukaryota; Viridiplantae; Streptophyta; Magnoliopsida; Malpighiales; Euphorbiaceae. The record is from RNAcentral.
UUCUCUUUCUUUGGUGGCUGGUGACAAGUUUUAAGUAAAAGAAAUCCUAUUUUUUCUUUUAAAUGCACCUAGACUCUGUCGAGCGUGCCUAUGCGAGCCUCGCUACACCUAGGUGAUGUCCUAUGCCUUUAUCUCCUUCAAGUGCAACCACCUACGCCCCUUGCAUCCUGCACCUUAGGCGCGCCUAGCGCGCCUUUGAUAACAGUG